RNAcentral lists this ribosomal RNA (484 nucleotides) under uncultured bacterium. RNAcentral's name for it is "partial 16S ribosomal RNA". It matches the Rfam family "Bacterial small subunit ribosomal RNA", at positions 30 to 507 of the family's 1533-position model. The record is from RNAcentral.
AUUGAACGCUUCCUUCCUUCCUAACACAUUCAAGUCGAGCGUAUGAAGGGAGCUUGCUCCUGGAUUCAGCGGCGGACGGGUGAGUAAUGCCUAGGAAUCUGCCUGGUAGUGGGGGAUAACGUCCGGAAACGGGCGCUAAUACCGCAUACGUCCUGAGGGAGAAAGUGGGGGAUCUUCGGACCUCACGCUAUCAGAUGAGCCUAGGUCGGAUUAGCUAGUUGGUGGGGUAAAGGCCUACCAAGGCGACGAUCCGUAACUGGUCUGAGAGGAUGAUCAGUCACACUGGAACUGAGACACGGUCCAGACUCCUACGGGAGGCAGCAGUGGGGAAUAUUGGACAAUGGGCGAAAGCCUGAUCCAGCCAUGCCGCGUGUGUGAAGAAGGUCUUCGGAUUGUAAAGAAAUGGAAGUUGGGAGGAAGGGCAGUAAGUUAAUACCUUGCUGUUUUGACGUUACCAACAGAAUAAGCAAAGGCUAAAUUCGGG